RNAcentral lists this ribosomal RNA (1051 nucleotides) under Meganyctiphanes norvegica. Its description in RNAcentral is "eukaryotic LSU rRNA". It matches the Rfam family "Eukaryotic large subunit ribosomal RNA", at positions 1306 to 1924 of the family's 3401-position model. The record is from RNAcentral. Lineage: Eukaryota; Metazoa; Arthropoda; Malacostraca; Euphausiacea; Euphausiidae.
CUAGCCCUGAAAAUGGAUGGCGCUCAAGCGUCCUCCCGAUACUCGACCGUCGGGGCAGUAACGGCCUUCGCGGGUCUCGAAGCCCCGACGAGUAGGAGGGUCGUGGCGGUGAGCGUUGAAGGGACCGGCGUGAGCCGGCCUGGAGCCGCCGCUAGUGCAGAUCUUGGUGGUAGUAGCAAAUACUCGAGUGAGAUCCUUGAGGACUGACCGUGGAGAAGGGUUCCAUGUGAACAUCAGUUGAACAUGGGUUAGUCGGUCCUAAGCCUCAGCCGAAAGGCGUCUCAGCGCUGGCAAGGUGUCAAUCCAAACUCUUUCCUAGUAGAUCGGGUGUCAAAACCCUUCUUCGAACGGCGAGGGGACGCCCGAAGACCGUUGGCAGCUCGCCCGUUUCCCACUCGUGGGAGGCCGUACCCCAUGCCUUUGGUCCGAGAUGGCGUCCUGAGCUCCUCUGCCCUCACGGGCGGAGGGUCAGGCGUUUGCCGAUCAGCCGUUGUAGAUUUGUAGGCGAAAGGGAAUCUGGUACUUAUUCCAAAACCUCGUCCCGGAUAAAACGUCCCCGAGCGUUCGCGCGAGGGUAUAACGGUCCUGGUAACGGGAAUGACCCUGCAUACACUGGCGGCGGUCCGGGGAAGAGUUUUCUUUUCUGUUUAAGACUCCGUGACCCUGGAAGCUACUCGCAAGGCGAUAGGGGUCGUGGUAGCGUAGAGCGCCGCGGUUCUUGCGGGCGUCCCGUGCGCCGUCGUCGGUCCUUGAAAAUGCAGGCGAGGGCGGAAACCCAAGGUCGCAUCACGCGUUGCACCCCGGUGCAGUGGAAUUUGCCUCCGACGGGGUAGUAAGCUCUCUGACGUCGACUGGUACCAACAGGUAAAGAUCGAGAACCCUCGUGGUUUUCUUUCCGAUCCCGUAACACCAGAUCUCCUGUCCGGUCACGUUGGGGUCCUAACCCCUUCACGGACUUUCGGGCGAGCCCGUACCCAUAUCCGCAGCAGGUCUCCAAGGUGAAUAGCCUCUAGUCGAUAGAUUAAUGUAGGUAAGGGAAGUCGGCAAAUUA